Molecule: long non-coding RNA, 1054 nt
Organism: Leopardus geoffroyi (Geoffroy's cat)
Lineage: Eukaryota; Metazoa; Chordata; Mammalia; Carnivora; Felidae
Exons: 2
Source: RefSeq, a predicted model, not a curated record
AAUUUCACUCCUACUUCUACUGAGAUAAUAAUGCAUAUAGAGCAUAUCCAUCGCUGAAAGAAGAGAGUUUUUGAUUAAACUGAAAAACCAAAUGGAUUUGAAGUCCUACAAAUGAUUAUCAUUUAGAGGAUGUGUGCCCACAUACAGACUAGAAUACUUAACAGGAGAAUGAAGAAUACAAAACAGAGCUCUGUCAUCUCCAGCCCAGGAUCAUUGGAUACUCCAUUUUCGUGCUGAAUUUGCCUGGCUGUUUGCUUUUUAAGUUUAAAGUGUAAAUGCCAACCUGCUUUUCUCUGAGUUCUCUCUGAAUCAGUCCUUUGUUUGGUCAGUUCACAAGGUACACAUUAGCUGCCAGGCAUGAUUAGGCUCUGAGGUAACAGUGAUUAAGAGGUAGGGAAAUGAGCAGAGGCCACCAACACAGAAUUUAAAAAAGAAAAAGAAAAAAUACGCGGGUGGGGAUGUUUCAUGCUUAUAUCAGACACCAGUUUCUCAAACUGAAAGAGCCAACAAAACGUUACACUGAAUUUAACACAGGCGUAUCCCAUGACUGGUCAGAAAUAAACAUAGACGUUUUACUCAUAAUGCUAAUUAGGAUCUCACAAGUGACUGAUUCUAAAUUAGAAAGGUUUAUUCAACCUCACACAGUGGGAAUGUAUUGCAUGGCUAUUCUAGUUCCCGGGAGAAAAUAAAAUAACAGAAAGUCGCUGUAAAAGGUCAUUUAUGAGGAAAUCCCAAACUUCCAUUUCACACCUUUAUAAGAAGCACCAAAUAUAUCCCAAAUUAAGCCCAGGUAGAAAACAACUCAGACUCUGUUUUGAAUUUUUUUUUUAAACUACAGAGAGUCCUAUUUAUAUUUUCCCUGAGCACUUGAAAGACUUGAUUUUCCCUUACCGUGAGAAAGCAAAACUGAGAAAACCAGAAAACCUGUGGAUAAACACCUAAACCAUCGUUCCCACAAUGACCAUGCCUGGCUGCAUUUUCUUCACUAUCAUACUGUUUAAAUGGAUCACCCCAAUCUCAAUCCACAUCAAAUAAAACUUUACAUAUUUAGGAA